UUAUCCAGGCAAAUCCGGAUAAUCAAGGCUGAGGUGUGAUGACGAGGCACUACGGUGCUGAAGUAACAAAUGCCCUGCUUCCAGGAAAAGCCUCUAAGCAUCAGGUAACAUCAAAUCGUACCCCAAACCGACACAGGUGGUCAGGUAGAGAAUACCAAGGCGCUUGAGAGAACUCGGGUGAAGGAACUAGGCAAAAUGGUGCCGUAACUUCGGGAGAAGGCACGCUGGUGUGUAGGUGAAGCCCCUGCGGGUGGAGCUGAGACCAGUCGAAGAUACCAGCUGGCUGCAACUGUUUAUUAAAAACACAGCACUGUGCAAACACGAAAGUGGACGUAUACGGUGUGACGCCUGCCCGGUGCCGGAAGGUUAAUUGAUGGGGUUAUCCGUAAGGAGAAGCUCUUGAUCGAAGCCCCGGUAAACGGCGGCCGUAACUAUAACGGUCCUAAGGUAGCGAAAUUCCUUGUCGGGUAAGUUCCGACCUGCACGAAUGGCGUAAUGAUGGCCAGGCUGUCUCCACCCGAGACUCAGUGAAAUUGAACUCGCUGUGAAGAUGCAGUGUACCCGCGGCAAGACGGAAAGACCCCGUGAACCUUUACUAUAGCUUGACACUGAACAUUGAGCCUUGAUGUGUAGGAUAGGUGGGAGGCUUUGAAGCGUGGACGCCAGUCUGCGUGGAGCCAACCUUGAAAUACCACCCUUUAAUGUUUGAUGUUCUAACGUUGGCCCCUGACCGGGGUUGCGGACAGUGUCUGGUGGGUAGUUUGACUGGGGCGGUCUCCUCCCAAAGCGUAACGGAGGAGCACGAAGGUUAGCUAAUCCUGGUCGGACAUCAGGAGGUUAGUGCAAUGGCAUAAGCUAGCUUGACUGCGAGCGUGACGGCGCGAGCAGGUGCGAAAGCAGGUCAUAGUGAUCCGGUGGUUCUGAAUGGAAGGGCCAUCGCUCAACGGAUAAAAGGUACUCCGGGGAUAACAGGCUGAUACCGCCCAAGAGUUCAUAUCGACGGCGGUGUUUGGCACCUCGAUGUCGGCUCAUCACAUCCUGGGGCUGAAGUAGGUCCCAAGGGUAUGGCUGUUCGCCAUUUAAAGUGGUACGCGAGCUGGGUUUAGAACGUCGUGAGACAGUUCGGUCCCUAUCUGCCGUGGGCGCUGGAGAAUUGAGGGGGGCUGCUCCUAGUACGAGAGGACCGGAGUGGACGCAUCACUGGUGUUCGGGUUGUCAUGCCAAUGGCACUGCCCGGUAGCUAAAUGCGGAAGAGAUAAGUGCUGAAAGCAUCUAAGCACGAAACUUGCCCCGAGAUGAGUUCUCCCUGAGACUUUAAGUCUCCUGAAGGAACGUUGAAGACGACGACGUUGAUAGGCCGGGUGUGUAAGCGCAGCGAUGCGUUGAGCUAACCGGUACUAAUGAACCGUGAGGCUUAACCUUACAACGCCGAAG
This 1434-nucleotide ribosomal RNA is filed under the name Klebsiella pneumoniae. RNAcentral's name for it is "partial 23S ribosomal RNA". It matches the Rfam family "Bacterial large subunit ribosomal RNA", at positions 1528 to 2925 of the family's 2925-position model. The record is from RNAcentral. Lineage: Bacteria; Pseudomonadati; Pseudomonadota; Gammaproteobacteria; Enterobacterales; Enterobacteriaceae.